This 368-nucleotide small RNA is filed under the name Oryza sativa Japonica Group (Japanese rice). RNAcentral describes it as "sRNA Os02g0769250". Lineage: Eukaryota; Viridiplantae; Streptophyta; Magnoliopsida; Poales; Poaceae. The record is from RNAcentral.
AGGAGAAGGAUGCGAGGGUUUUGAAGAGGAGAGGGAUCGAUGGGGCAGGGAAGCGAGGACAGGGGCAGUAAUGGCAAUUUAUGGUGACAUGCCCCAUUUGGCACAGCGGGUGCCCUAAUGCCCAAUAACUGCGCUACUCUACGUCCAGCCCCCGGCCUGUCUUUACGUUGCUCGAGCCAGUGAAGGGCUUUGCAGUUCUGCUGCUGCUUGCUAGCUGCGCGCAUCUCUCACUUUCCUCGCUCAGAGAGAGGCCACAGCUGACUCACUCCACUGCUUUGAAUUCCCACAAAAUGCCUCGUGAAGUGCACCCCUUCUCUCCCUAGCUCUCUCUCGUCUCUUCAGGGCCUGGAAUGUCUUGGACAAGCUUG